Molecule: long non-coding RNA, 713 nt
Filed under: Sarcophilus harrisii (Tasmanian devil)
Lineage: Eukaryota; Metazoa; Chordata; Mammalia; Dasyuromorphia; Dasyuridae
Description: lncRNA (ENSSHAG00000030742.1)
Source: RNAcentral
UGCUGAGGAAUUUUACUAACAAUUCCUACUCUCACCUCUGUAUAUACCCACGUAAUCUCAGAUCUUCUGCAAAAUGAAGAAUAUCUCCUGCCAUUAAAACACUGGGUAUGCUGAUGCAUUCAAUGAGAGAAUAUAAGAUUUUCCUGAUUGCAAGCUUGGCACUCCAUCCACCACACCACCUAGCUGUACUUUUGGAUAGCUCUGAUUAAUACAUGGCACUGUGGACUGAGCACUGGACCUGGAGUCAAGAUCCUGCUCAAAAAUGAAACUCAGAAGAUAUAAAGGCUUCAUGAUGGCAUGGAAGUUAUUAUGGAUUUUCCAAAGUUACACUAGUAGGGAUGUUCAUCCUGGAGAAGAAUUACGGGGAGAAAGUGAUCACCUGUCUUUCUGUAUCUUUUAUUUCCAAGAUUCUGAGAUUCUUCAAAAAGAUGUAAGUCUGUAACACUAUUUGAAAGACUUUUGAUAGAAAGAGAUAAGACAUGCUCUGUUUUCCCUCAAAGGCAGACCCAGGAGCAAGGUUACAAGGAGUUAGAUUUCAGUUCAUUCAAAGGGAACACUUCCUAAUCAUUAGAGUUGUCCAAAAGAAGAAUGGACCAUCUUAAUGGGUAAUAAAUUCCCCAGUCACUGAAGAAAUACAAGCAGAAAUUGGAUAAGAUUGUAAGCCCCUCGAGGGCAGGAACUGUCUUUUGUACCCCGGCCACUUAGCAUAGUGC